GUUCCCAAAUGUAUCAUCACACAAUGGUGCAUUGAAAUGACUGCAUGCUUCACAAUCCAUGGACAUCAUUGGCUUCCAAUAUAAGCACACCCAUAAGUUCCAGUAAGCUCUCCAUAAUGGAUCCGCAAAUCACAAUUCAAAUAAACUGCAGUGACAUAAUGCAUGCAUGAUGUGGACAAUAACUCCCUGUGAACUUCAAUAGCUUGCUCAAAAACUCCUUUCACAUCAUAAAAGGUUGUGGCACUCAAAGAGAACAUGCUCCAACCACAAUUAAAAAUACCCUCCAAGUCAGAAGCAUAUCUAGUGAAUUUAGCACAAUAAAU
RNAcentral lists this unclassified non-coding RNA (323 nucleotides) under Hevea brasiliensis (rubber tree). The record is from RNAcentral. Lineage: Eukaryota; Viridiplantae; Streptophyta; Magnoliopsida; Malpighiales; Euphorbiaceae.